UAGGGAAUCUUCGGCAAUGGACGAAAGUCUGACCGAACAACGCCGCGUGAGUGAAGAAGGUUUUCGGAUCGUAAAACUCUGUUGUUAGAGAAGAACAAGGGUGAGAGUAACUGUUCACCCCUUGACGGUAUCUAACCAGAAAGCCACGGCUAACUACGUGCCAG
Molecule: ribosomal RNA, 164 nt
Filed under: uncultured bacterium
Lineage: Bacteria
Description: partial 16S rRNA
Rfam family: Bacterial small subunit ribosomal RNA
Source: RNAcentral